This is a long non-coding RNA of Sardina pilchardus (European sardine), 882 nucleotides long. RefSeq lists it as uncharacterized. The record is from RefSeq and is a predicted model, not a curated record. The transcript is spliced from 3 exons. NCBI's taxonomy places the organism in Eukaryota, Metazoa, Chordata, Actinopteri, Clupeiformes, Clupeidae.
UAGAGGUAUAAAAAUAUCGGUAUCUGGUGUUAUUUACACUUAGAAUACAGUAAUUACGUGGUCUAGAAUAACGAUUGAAAACGACGAUACUCUCGUCCCCCAUAGGGAAUGACGAUUCAGGCUAACAUUAUUUUAGCACGUCAAAUCUGUUCAUGUUUGACCCUGUAGCUUAGUUGUCAGGCAUAAUUCGCCGUUUUUAUAUCAUAGCGAUACAUGUGAUUUUGUUUGAAGUAGCCCAACAUUUAUUUGCUAGCUGGAAAUAAUUAAGGAAAGUCUUCAAGAGUUGCUAAUAGUAUGGUUUUGUCUUUUUUUUUUUUUUACAGUGAGCGGAGCGGACAACUGAUCCGAGGAGCACAGGCAUACAAGUAUGUCCAUCCUAAACUACUGUUAACAUCCUUCGACGGAUUCUCUGUUCAUUCUGGCUGAUGUCACUGGCAGACAUCGAGGGGGAAGAGAGUCUUCCAGACACACCCAGAAUCAUUAUGCUUGAAGCGCAUUUUGGAGGUCACACACUGAUGUUGGACGAGGCGACUGGCUCUCAGGAUCCGCUCUAAUUCAUCCCAAAGGUGUUCUAUUGAGUUGAGGUCAGGACCCUGUGCAGGCCAGUCAAGUUCAUCCAGACCAAACUCUGUUAUCCAUGCCUUUAUGGACCUUGCUUUGUGCACUGGUGCACUGUCAUGUUGGAACAGGAAGGGGCCAUCCCCGAGCUGGGCUUGGUCCCUUAGUUCCAGUGAAAGGAACUUUGAAUGCUUUAGCAUUAACCAAGAGAUUUUGGACAAUUCCAAGCUCCCAACUUUGUGAGAAGUGUGUGUGUGUGUGUGUUUGUGUGUGUGUGUGUGGCAGCCAGAGCCAUAGAGGGAUGGUGUUCUCUACCUCUUGUGA